AGUGAACGCUGGCGGUAGGCCUAACACAUGCAAGUCGAACGGCAGCACAGUAAGAGCUUGCUCUUACGGGUGGCGAGUGGCGGACGGGUGAGGAAUACAUCGGAAUCUACUUUUUCGUGGGGGAUAACGUAGGGAAACUUACGCUAAUACCGCAUACGACCUACGGGUGAAAGCAGGGGAUCAUCGGACCUUGCGCGAUUGAAUGAGCCGAUGUCGGAUUAGCUAGUUGGCGGGGUAAAGGCCCACCAAGGCGACGAUCCGUAGCUGGUCUGAGAGGAUGAUCAGCGACACUGGAACUGAGACACGGUCCAGACUCCUACGGGAGGCAGCAGUGGGGAAUAGUGGACAAUGGGCGCGAGCCUUAUCCAGCCAUACCGCGUGGGUGAAGAAGGCCUUCGGGUUGUAAAGCCCUUUUGUUGGGAAAGAAAAGCAGCAGGUUAAUACCCCGCUGUUCUGACGGUACCCAAAGAAUAAGCACCGGCUAACUUCGUG
This 492-nucleotide ribosomal RNA is filed under the name uncultured bacterium. RNAcentral's name for it is "partial 16S ribosomal RNA". It matches the Rfam family "Bacterial small subunit ribosomal RNA", at positions 29 to 507 of the family's 1533-position model. The record is from RNAcentral.